This 779-nucleotide ribosomal RNA is filed under the name Anhemialges bakeri. RNAcentral describes it as "partial large subunit ribosomal RNA". It matches the Rfam family "Eukaryotic large subunit ribosomal RNA", at positions 77 to 650 of the family's 3401-position model. The record is from RNAcentral. Lineage: Eukaryota; Metazoa; Arthropoda; Arachnida; Sarcoptiformes; Analgidae.
CCCUUAGUAACGGCGAGCGAAAAGGGAAGAGUCCAGCGCCAAGUCUUGACACUUUGUGUUCAAGAGAUGCGGCGUUAAUGUGUUGUUGCAUCGUACAUUGUUACUUGUUUCAAGUUCUCUUGACAGAGACAUCCAUAGCGGGUGCUAGGCCCAUAGAGAUAAGAAACUAAUGUACGCCAAACAAUGCAUUCUAGAGUCAGGUUGCUUGAGAGUGCAGCUUAAAGUCGGUGGUAAACUCCAUCUAAGACUAAAUAUAACAGCGAGACCGAUAGCAAACAAGUACCGUGAGGGAAAGUUGCAAAGCACUUUGAAGAGAGAGUUCAACAGUACGUGAAACCACUGGGAGGCAAACAGAUGGAACCACGAAGUUGCGCUUCUCACGAUUCAAUCAUUGCAUCAGUUACCGGAACUUGUGUGGAUCUUUUCGGAGAUUAGCAAGUGACGUUUGACUGAUUACAGUGGUGCAUUUCGUGUGGAAGAUGCUAAGCCACGUUCGAUUAGAGUUGGGACGGCUGUAGGAAGGGAUUUGAGAAAGGUGACCGUCACGUGCUUGCAUUUGGCGGCGUUAUAGUCUCGAAUCGGAACCGUCACCUAACAAACUGAUCGAUGCAAUUUCUCCUUAGGAGUUAAACUGUGUCUGCCUGUGGCCAUUAGUUAAUUUUUCGAAGUGUUCUUUACGUAUCUUUUGGUACGAAAAGGCAUUUCAACGAUGUUGGCUAGUGGUUGCUUGCGUGGCAUGGUGGAACUGUGGCGUGAGUAGGUCGGUUUCCCUCUGACCC